Molecule: ribosomal RNA, 460 nt
Filed under: uncultured bacterium
Lineage: Bacteria
Description: partial 16S ribosomal RNA
Rfam family: Bacterial small subunit ribosomal RNA
Source: RNAcentral
CCUACGGGUGGCAGCAGUGAGGAAUAUUGGUCAAUGGACGCAAGUCUGAACCAGCCAUGCCGCGUGCAGGAAGACGGCUCUAUGAGUUGUAAACUGCUUUUGUACGAGGGUAAACGCAGAUACGCGUAUCUGUCUGAAAGUAUCGUACGAAUAAGGAUCGGCUAACUCCGUGCCAGCAGCCGCGGUAAUACGGAGGAUUCAAGCGUUAUCCGGAUUUAUUGGGUUUAAAGGGUGCGUAGGCGGUCUGAUAAGUUAGAGGUGAAAUCCCGAGGCUCAACUUCGGAAUUGCCGCUGAUACUGUUGGGCUAGAGAGUAGUUGCGGUAGGCGGAAUGUGUGGUGUAGCGGUGAAAUGCUUAGAGAUCAUACAGAACACCGAUUGCGAAGGCAGCUUACUAAGCCACUUCUGACGUUGAGGCACGAAAGCGUGGGGAGCAAACAGGAUUAGAUACCCGUGUAGUC